RNAcentral lists this long non-coding RNA (2127 nucleotides) under Felis catus (domestic cat). RNAcentral's name for it is "lncRNA (ENSFCAG00000044255.2)". Lineage: Eukaryota; Metazoa; Chordata; Mammalia; Carnivora; Felidae. The record is from RNAcentral.
GGACUUCCAGGCCAUGGUGGUGGAUGGAGUGCAGGACUUCCGUCUCUCGAGGACCAACCCGAAGAACAAAAUUGCAAAAGCCGAGAAAGAGUCCCAGCGGCAAAGUAAUCAAGCAUGAGAAGUUGCCAAAUGUGACGUUGUGUCCCGUCAGAGGCAGGGGCUGCCAUUGAGGUUGACCGUCUCCACAAGUGUUCACCGAUGGUCCAUGACGACGAUGGUCACAGGGUAGAAAGGAUGGAAUUCUAUGAAUUUCUUGGUGCUCAGUUUCAACUCAGCAGGCAAGUCAUCUUCUCUCAGACGCUCCCAUCCCUCCGCUCCGUGGCGUGGCCAUAUUCUCGAGAGCGCUCGUGGUUCAUUCUGCACCUUCAAGGGCUGAUAAGCAACCUGCCGGACCUCUCUGCUCCCAGAGUCAAAUAAGCCACUCACACAUCUUUGCAUUUUGACCCAGUGGUCUCUUGGCUGUGUCCCCAGCGUGCUCUCUUGCAAAUGUGUGCACAUGCCUCAUUCUAGAAGAUAUGAUUACGAUGUGGGACCCUGUGUCUCUGUGCAGCUUGAUGCAUCUCCCAGCCAAGAAUGGGCAUGAGAAGCCGGGAAGACCCGAGUCUGAAUCCUGACUGUAUUAAUUUCUAGCUGUGUGAUCUGGAUGGAGCUACUUAAUUUCUCCGAACAGCAGAUUCCUUUAUCUGGACAGCGGUGCUAAAACCCUUUCUUCCAGCGCGGGGGACUGUUAAAGAAAAUGCCCAAACGGUAUCUGGGUCCUAGUGCACGUCAAAAACUUUUGUCUGAUCCAAGAAGUGGACUUAUAACCUCUCUCUCCUAACGUUUCAUGAAGUCAUCACAUGCUGGAUGUGCAGUCCUCAGUAAGGACCAGUGUUAAAGUUCUAAGCUACAGAAGUCUGCAAUCCGCAGUCGCCAGGCAUGACCUGGCGCCGUUCUACUGUUGGCGUGACCCCCGUAAGACCAGAGGAUGCUGCGCUCUGGGCCUCGAAGGCACCAGCGUGAAUCCCCACCCUGAUUCUUCCCAGGAGAAGCGAAGCGUUGAAAAUUAUAUUCAGCUGCAGGAGUUUUCAGCCUCACAUUCGGAAAGAGCAGAAGUUGCUAGAGGCUAUUUUCAGAGAACUCCUAAUAAGUACAGAACCCAAAUACAGACAUGGUUGUUAACACCCUGGGAAAUGCCAAAUCCAAGCUGGAUCGCAGCCAGCAGAGAAAUGGAAAGUCCUAGAUAGCUUAUCUCAGAGCCAAUCUGUAUUACGCGGGAGGCGCAAGAGGCAAUUGCACGGGAGGACACGAGCUCUCCUUCUAGGCUCUACAUCAGCGCCUUGGACCGACAACAUCAAGGUGCAUUGGGCAUUUUCUGAAUCUGCGAGUAGGUCCCUUGUCCUGCCCUGUGUUCUAUCCUGUGCUGCCAGCCUUCUUCUCCUUCAACCCACCCAUUCUUCCUGACCCGUUUCAUUCAUUCCUGGGGCUUCAGGAACCUUCUCUCCCUCAACAAAUGACUCCUUGUGAUAGAUCUCCAGGCUUGAGUUUUUAAACAAGUUUAUUCUAUUUAUUUGUUUGUUUGUUUACUUAUUUAUUUAGAGAGAGAGAGAGAGAGAGAGGAGAGAAAGAGAGAGCACACGGGGGAGAGGCAGAGAGAGGCAGAGAGAGAAUCCCAAGCAGGCUCCACGCUGUCUGCGCAGCCUGACGCGGGGCUCGAUCCCACGAACCGGGAGAUCACGACGUGAGCUGAAAUCAAGAGUUGGAUGCUCAACCACCUGAGCCACCCAGGACCCCCAGCCUUGACUUUUUGUCUGCAUGUCAGGCACCUGUUUAAGCCCGCGACAGACACCCAAACUCAGCAUGAUUUUCUCCAGCUCUGUUAACUCAGCACUGGGACACAGGUUCUUUGACUACAAGCCAAGAGUUUUCUGCUCUCCACAACGAUGCCUUGGGUAGUUGACGUGGUGGCUAAUUGAAGUUAAAGCACCCAUUUAGAAUGGUUUUGGGGGAAGGUGACAGAAAGUCUGACUGUGGCAAUGAUUAGAAUUUGGAUUCUGAAGAUUUGGGUUCAAACCUCAAGAUGCAACCUUCAUACCUCUCCGGGAGCAUGGCUUCAAUAAAUCAUUUCCAUUUGCAAAGAGUAGAGCA